RNAcentral lists this ribosomal RNA (497 nucleotides) under uncultured bacterium. Its description in RNAcentral is "partial 16S ribosomal RNA". It matches the Rfam family "Bacterial small subunit ribosomal RNA", at positions 28 to 507 of the family's 1533-position model. The record is from RNAcentral.
GAUGAACGCUGGCGGCGUGCCUAAUACAUGCAAGUCGAGCGAACAGACGAGGAGCUUGCUCCUUCGACGUUAGCGGCGGACGGGUGAGUAACACGUAGGUAACCUACCUAUAAGACUGGGAUAACUUCGGGAAACCGGAGCUAAUACCGGAUAAUAUUUCGAACCGCAUGGUUCGAUAGUGAAAGAUGGCUUUGCUAUCACUUAUAGAUGGACCUGCGCCGUAUUAGCUAGUUGGUAAGGUAACGGCUUACCAAGGCAACGAUACGUAGCCGACCUGAGAGGGGGGGUGGACACACGCGCACUAAGACGCGGUAGAGACGCCAACGGGGCGCAGCAGCGCCGAAUGUAGCAGAAUGGGAUAAGGACUGACAGAGUAAAGUAGCAGGGAAGAACAUACGUCUCUGGUCCUAUAAACCUGUUAUCGUGGAAAAACAAAGAAGCAACGAAUGACUCACGGCCAGACGUGACGUAAUAAGAAAGCCACCGCUAACCCCGAC